GAUGAACGCUGGCGGCGUGCCUAAUACAUGCAAGUCGAGCGAACGGACGAGAAGCUUGCUUUUCUGAUGUUAGCGGCGGACGGGUGAGUAACACGUGGAUAACCUACCUAUAAGACUGGGAUAACUUCGGGAAACCGGAGCUAAUACCGGAUAAUAUAUUGAACCGCAUGGUUCAAAAGUGAAAGACGGUCUUGCUGUCACUUAUAGAUGGAUCCGCGCUGCAUUAGCUAGUUGGUAAGGUAACGGCUUACCAAGGCAACGAUGCAUAGCCGACCUGAGAGGGUGAUCGGCCACACUGGAACUGAGACACGGUCCAGACUCCUACGGGAGGCAGCAGUAGGGAAUCUUCCGCAAUGGGCGAAAGCCUGACGGAGCAACGCCGCGUGAGUGAUGAAGGUCUUCGGAUCGUAAAACUCUGUUAUUAGGGAAGAACAUAUGUGUAAGUAACUGUGCACAUCUUGACGGUACCUAAUCAGAAAGCCACGGCUAACUACGUG
Molecule: ribosomal RNA, 497 nt
Filed under: uncultured bacterium
Lineage: Bacteria
Description: partial 16S ribosomal RNA
Rfam family: Bacterial small subunit ribosomal RNA
Source: RNAcentral